This is a non-coding RNA of Picea glauca (white spruce), 45 nucleotides long. The record is from Rfam. NCBI's taxonomy places the organism in Eukaryota, Viridiplantae, Streptophyta, Pinopsida, Pinales, Pinaceae.
AAUUUGGCCUUUUUAAAGGCCCCCAUAAUAUACAAAUUAUUCUUU